This 253-nucleotide ribosomal RNA is filed under the name Virgibacillus indicus. RNAcentral describes it as "partial 16S ribosomal RNA". It matches the Rfam family "Bacterial small subunit ribosomal RNA", at positions 524 to 776 of the family's 1533-position model. The record is from RNAcentral. Lineage: Bacteria; Bacillati; Bacillota; Bacilli; Caryophanales; Bacillaceae. RNAcentral also lists the same sequence under 2 other names.
UACGUAGGGGGCAAGCGUUGUCCGGAAUUAUUGGGCGUAAAGCGCUCGCAGGCGGUCUUUUAAGUCUGAUGUGAAAGCCCACGGCUUAACCGUGGAGGGUCAUUGGAAACUGGAGGACUUGAGUACAGAAGAGGAGAGUGGAAUUCCACGUGUAGCGGUGAAAUGCGUAGAGAUGUGGAGGAACACCAGUGGCGAAGGCGACUCUCUGGUCUGUAACUGACGCUGAGGAGCGAAAGCGUGGGGAGCGAACAGG